ACAGCAGCCGCCGCGGUAAUACGUAGGGUGCAAGCGUUAAUCGGAAUUACUGGGCGUAAAGCGUGCGCAGGCGGUUCGUUAAGACAGAUGUGAAAUCCCCGGGCUUAACCUGGGAACUGCAUUUGUGACUGGCGGACUAGAGUAUGGCAGAGGGGGGUAGAAUUCCACGUGUAGCAGUGAAAUGCGUAGAGAUGUGGAGGAAUACCGAUGGCGAAGGCAGCCCCCUGGGCCAAUACUGACGCCCAUGCACGAAAGCGUGGGGAGCAAACAGGAUUAGAUACCCCAGUAGUCCCUGUCUCUUAUAC
RNAcentral lists this ribosomal RNA (305 nucleotides) under uncultured bacterium. RNAcentral describes it as "partial 16S ribosomal RNA". It matches the Rfam family "Bacterial small subunit ribosomal RNA", at positions 508 to 807 of the family's 1533-position model. The record is from RNAcentral.